This 2923-nucleotide ribosomal RNA is filed under the name Klebsiella pneumoniae. RNAcentral describes it as "bacterial LSU rRNA". It matches the Rfam family "Bacterial large subunit ribosomal RNA". Lineage: Bacteria; Pseudomonadati; Pseudomonadota; Gammaproteobacteria; Enterobacterales; Enterobacteriaceae. The record is from RNAcentral.
GGGUUGUGAGGUUAAGCGACUAAGCGUACACGGUGGAUGCCCUGGCAGUCAGAGGCGAUGAAGGACGUGCUAAUCUGCGAAAAGCGUCGGUAAGGUGAUAUGAACCGUUAUAACCGGCGAUGUCCGAAUGGGGAAACCCAGUGCAAUUCGUUGCACUAUCGUUAACUGAAUACAUAGGUUAACGAGGCGAACCGGGGGAACUGAAACAUCUAAGUACCCCGAGGAAAAGAAAUCAACCGAGAUUCCCCCAGUAGCGGCGAGCGAACGGGGAGCAGCCCAGAGUCUGAAUCAGCUUGUGUGUUAGUGGAACGGUCUGGAAAGUCCGACGGUACAGGGUGAUAGUCCCGUACACCAAAAUGCACAGGUUGUGAACUCGAAGAGUAGGGCGGGACACGUGGUAUCCUGUCUGAAUAUGGGGGGACCAUCCUCCAAGGCUAAAUACUCCUGACUGACCGAUAGUGAACCAGUACCGUGAGGGAAAGGCGAAAAGAACCCCGGCGAGGGGAGUGAAAAAGAACCUGAAACCGUGUACGUACAAGCAGUGGGAGCACCUUCGGGUGUGACUGCGUACCUUUUGUAUAAUGGGUCAGCGACUUAUAUUCUGUAGCAAGGUUAACCGUAUAGGGGAGCCGCAGGGAAACCGAGUCUUAACUGGGCGUUAAGUUGCAGGGUAUAGACCCGAAACCCGGUGAUCUAGCCAUGGGCAGGUUGAAGGUUGGGUAACACUAACUGGAGGACCGAACCGACUAAUGUUGAAAAAUUAGCGGAUGACUUGUGGCUGGGGGUGAAAGGCCAAUCAAACCGGGAGAUAGCUGGUUCUCCCCGAAAGCUAUUUAGGUAGCGCCUCGUGAAUUCAUCUUCGGGGGUAGAGCACUGUUUCGGCUAGGGGGUCAUCCCGACUUACCAACCCGAUGCAAACUACGAAUACCGAAGAAUGUUAUCACGGGAGACACACGGCGGGUGCUAACGUCCGUCGUGAAGAGGGAAACAACCCAGACCGCCAGCUAAGGUCCCAAAGUCAUGGUUAAGUGGGAAACGAUGUGGGAAGGCACAGACAGCCAGGAUGUUGGCUUAGAAGCAGCCAUCAUUUAAAGAAAGCGUAAUAGCUCACUGGUCGAGUCGGCCUGCGCGGAAGAUGUAACGGGGCUAAACCAUGCACCGAAGCUGCGGCAGCGACACUAUGUGUUGUUGGGUAGGGGAGCGUUCUGUAAGCCUGCGAAGGUGUGCUGUGAGGCAUGCUGGAGGUAUCAGAAGUGCGAAUGCUGACAUAAGUAACGAUAAAGCGGGUGAAAAGCCCGCUCGCCGGAAGACCAAGGGUUCCUGUCCAACGUUAAUCGGGGCAGGGUGAGUCGACCCCUAAGGCGAGGCCGAAAGGCGUAGUCGAUGGGAAACAGGUUAAUAUUCCUGUACUUGGUGUUACUGCGAAGGGGGGACGGAGAAGGCUAUGUUAGCCGGGCGACGGUUGUCCCGGUUUAAGCAUGUAGGCUGGUUGUCCAGGCAAAUCCGGAUAAUCAAGGCUGAGGUGUGAUGACGAGGCACUACGGUGCUGAAGUAACAAAUGCCCUGCUUCCAGGAAAAGCCUCUAAGCAUCAGGUAACAUCAAAUCGUACCCCAAACCGACACAGGUGGUCAGGUAGAGAAUACCAAGGCGCUUGAGAGAACUCGGGUGAAGGAACUAGGCAAAAUGGUGCCGUAACUUCGGGAGAAGGCACGCUGGUGUGUAGGUGAAGCCCCUGCGGGUGGAGCUGAGACCAGUCGAAGAUACCAGCUGGCUGCAACUGUUUAUUAAAAACACAGCACUGUGCAAACACGAAAGUGGACGUAUACGGUGUGACGCCUGCCCGGUGCCGGAAGGUUAAUUGAUGGGGUUAUCCGUAAGGAGAAGCUCUUGAUCGAAGCCCCGGUAAACGGCGGCCGUAACUAUAACGGUCCUAAGGUAGCGAAAUUCCUUGUCGGGUAAGUUCCGACCUGCACGAAUGGCGUAAUGAUGGCCAGGCUGUCUCCACCCGAGACUCAGUGAAAUUGAACUCGCUGUGAAGAUGCAGUGUACCCGCGGCAAGACGGAAAGACCCCGUGAACCUUUACUAUAGCUUGACACUGAACAUUGAGCCUUGAUGUGUAGGAUAGGUGGGAGGCUUUGAAGCGUGGACGCCAGUCUGCGUGGAGCCAACCUUGAAAUACCACCCUUUAAUGUUUGAUGUUCUAACGUUGGCCCCUGACCGGGGUUGCGGACAGUGUCUGGUGGGUAGUUUGACUGGGGCGGUCUCCUCCCAAAGCGUAACGGAGGAGCACGAAGGUUAGCUAAUCCUGGUCGGACAUCAGGAGGUUAGUGCAAUGGCAUAAGCUAGCUUGACUGCGAGCGUGACGGCGCGAGCAGGUGCGAAAGCAGGUCAUAGUGAUCCGGUGGUUCUGAAUGGAAGGGCCAUCGCUCAACGGAUAAAAGGUACUCCGGGGAUAACAGGCUGAUACCGCCCAAGAGUUCAUAUCGACGGCGGUGUUUGGCACCUCGAUGUCGGCUCAUCACAUCCUGGGGCUGAAGUAGGUCCCAAGGGUAUGGCUGUUCGCCAUUUAAAGUGGUACGCGAGCUGGGUUUAGAACGUCGUGAGACAGUUCGGUCCCUAUCUGCCGUGGGCGCUGGAGAAUUGAGGGGGGCUGCUCCUAGUACGAGAGGACCGGAGUGGACGCAUCACUGGUGUUCGGGUUGUCAUGCCAAUGGCACUGCCCGGUAGCUAAAUGCGGAAGAGAUAAGUGCUGAAAGCAUCUAAGCACGAAACUUGCCCCGAGAUGAGUUCUCCCUGAGACUUUAAGUCUCCUGAAGGAACGUUAAAGACGAUGACGUUGAUAGGCCGGGUGUGUAAGCGCAGCGAUGCGUUGAGCUAACCGGUACUAAUGAACCGUGAGGCUUAACCUUACAACGCCGAAG